Molecule: ribosomal RNA, 422 nt
Filed under: uncultured bacterium
Lineage: Bacteria
Description: bacterial SSU rRNA
Rfam family: Bacterial small subunit ribosomal RNA
Source: RNAcentral
UGAGGAAUAUUGGUCAAUGGACGAGAGUCUGAACCAGCCAAAUCGCGUGAAGGAAGACUGCCCUACGGGUUGUAAACUUCUUUUGUACAGGAAUAAAAGACAUUACGUGUAAUGUAUUGCAUGUACUGUACGAAUAAGCAUCGGCUAACUCCGUGCCAGCAGCCGCGGUAGUACGGAGGAUGCGAGCGUUAUCCGGAUUUAUUGGGUUUAAAGGGUGCGCAGGCGGGAUUUUAAGUCAGCGGUGAAAUUUUCAGGCUCAACCUGAACACUGCCGUUGAAACUGGGAUUCUUGAGUAUGGAUGAAGUAGGCGGAAUUCGUUGUGUAGCGGUGACAUGCUUAGAUAUAACGAGGAACUCCGAUUGCGUAGGCAGCUUACUAAGCCAUAACUGACGCUCAAGCACGAAAGCGUGGGGAUCAAACA